Long non-coding RNA from Myxocyprinus asiaticus (Chinese sucker), 3284 nucleotides. RefSeq lists it as uncharacterized. The record is from RefSeq and is a predicted model, not a curated record. The transcript has 4 exons. Lineage: Eukaryota; Metazoa; Chordata; Actinopteri; Cypriniformes; Catostomidae.
UUGGUUACAGUACUGUGCUGGAGCCACUGCUCAAGGAUCUUGUGAGCUUGGAAGAGGAGGGCUUGUAUGUCCCAGCAUUAAGCAAAAGAGUCAAAGGAACAGUGAUUAGUGUUGUGGCAGAUAAUCUUGGAGCCCAUUCUAUUGGGGGAUUUGUUGAAAGCUUCUCCAGUUCUUAUGUCUGCAGAUUUUGUCUGGGUGGAAGAAGUGAGAACAGGAGCACCUGAGUUUCAGGUGGAAGAAGUGAGAACAGGGGCAUUUCAACUCAGAACUGAAGAACAACAUGAAAUGCAUGUCCAGACUGUGCAGGAGAAUACUGCUUUGACUCAUGUCUGUGGAGUCAAGAGGCAGUGUGCACUUACAGAGAAUCUGAAGUAUUUCAGUGUUUUGUCAGGUUACCCACCUGAUGUGUUGCACGAUCUGCUUAAAGGUGUAGUCCCCCGAGAAUUGGCUCUCUGUCUUCAAGUGUUUAUCAAGACACUCUUUACUCUUGAUGAACUCAACAAAUGCAUCAAAAUGUUCCCCUACAAAUGGUCAGAAAAGGCUGAUGCUCCACAGCAGGUCGCUCUGAAUUUUGCAGCAAAGAAAAGUGUUGGAGGGAACGCCCAUGAAAACUGGUCUUUGCUGCGAUUCCUGCCCCUCAUAAUUGGAUAAAAAAUCUCUGAAGGUGAACCAGCAUGGGAAGUACUUCUAGUGCUCAAAGACAUAGUUGAGCAUGUUGUAAGUCAUGUUCACACAGAGGAGACUAUUUGCUACCUAGACAUUAAGAUCUCUGAACACAGACACAGGUUUCUCCAGGUUUUCCCAGAGGAAAAACUAAUCCCCAAACAUCAUUACCUGGAACAAUAUCCACAGCUGAUCAGGGCCAGUGGUCAACUAGUGUUACUGUGGACUAUGCUGUUUGAAGCUAAACACAUCUUUUUCAAGCGUGUUGUCAGGCACACACACAGCUUUUGAAAUAUUCUGCUGUCACUUUCCAUGAAGCAUCAGCUGAUGAUUGCAUAUAACCAGCAUGAUCCCAGUGUUGUGAAACCUGUCUUACAGGCCACAGAGCUGUCUACUGUAGAUGUUACUGUGCUAAGAGAAGAUAUCCAGGAAGCACUGCAAGCUAAAUUUCCUGAUUGAUUAAUGUCGCAACCAGCACAUCUCUGAGUGAUACUUUCAGACCAUGAUGUCCAGAAUCUGACAUUACCAUCUGGAAUCCCUGGAACAGUUGGAGAACUUAAUUCAGUUGUUCGAGAUACAUUUGGGAUUUUAGGGGAUUUCCGUUUGCAUUACAAGGAUGCUGAUUUUGGUAAAGAUAUUUUCUCCUUGCUUUCGACAGCUGACAUCACAGAUAUGGACACUAUCAAGGUUGUGUAUAUCCUGGAACCCUCUACAGUAACAUUGACCUUAACAGACGACGACUCCUCAAGCAUUAUUGAUGGUUCUUAUCAGCCUUCUGAUGAUGCCUGCUCAUCUGUGUCCUCCCAUGACACAUUGCCUCUUUCUCCAGGAUCGAUAACAAAAAGCAUAGCCCAACGGUCAAAGGGUUGGCCCUCAGACUUUGCAAUUCCCCGUUUCUCAUCCAGAGAACAGAGAUUCUGCUUCAGUUAGGCAAUGAAAAAUGCAAUUGUUCUGGGACUCUUUUUGGUACCAAAGAUCUUAUCUCUCUACUUUCAGACAUUCUUGGAAGUUUCCAUCAAGUGCACAACUAAGUCAAGUAGCAGUGGCCCUGAUUAAAAAACAUCCCUGCCUCAAAGAACCAGGAUCUUUCAAUGGAUCUUAUAGAUGGAUCCAGCAACUCAAAUAUAAAAUGAACAACUUCAGAUCCAAACUUCGAUGUAUCGGCUGUCCAGAAAUUGAGGUGAUUUAAGUAGAUAAAAGGCUGAAGUAAAUUUCCUACCUCCUCAUCCUCAUGGUGAAACCAGUGGAAGUUUGGAGAACGAGAGAGUGGACCUGUUACGUGAAGUGACGAAAAGGGAUAAUUGCCAGGUUGUUGCUGAGAAAAUGGCCAAGACAUUCUCUCUUCAUAGGCAAGAAAUCAUUUAGGCCCCUGCAAUCAAGGACUUCAUGGAGCGCUGGCCUGCAUUAUUUGAUGCAACACAGCACAAUACAAUAAGUACGCAGAGAAGCAGCCAUCCGCUGCCUUGUCGUGCGCCUUGGAGAGAAGGAAGAGGACCUUUUCAAGGAGUUUGCUGAAACAGAAGAGUUCGAGGCAGGUCUUGAUAGGCAAGUGAUGAAAAUUGCCAUCAUCGGUGACCGGUCCACCCCAGGAUCUGACCACAAGAUGGCAACCAUCGUGGUCAAGGGAACCAAAAUCCUGGUGGGAAAGGAUAUCCCAAGGUGCUGUGCUUUGCUGAUGUGCAUAAUAUAUGCUCAGAAGCUGUUCCUUGAACUUGAUGGACUGAAAGCCAGUGCAAAAGUAAUGAGUCUCAAGAACAGUAUUUUCUGAAGAUUCCUCUUGUUUCAGAGCACUAUCAGAUUUUAUUCAGAUACUGUUGUUUUGUAUUUUGAAGUCUACUAAAGAAGCUACAAAACUGAUAGUGUAACAAAAGAGGGGAUGUAAGACAAAAUUGUGAAGUUGCUUCAGAUAUGCUGUAUAUGCAACAAAACUUGUCUUUACAGAUGACAAAACAAAGAUGAUGUAAAAUGCCAUUUUUGUGUUUUGGAAAUUAAUGUUGUGGGCUUACUUAUGUAAUUACAUAUGCGGCUUAGGUAUAGCAACUAUAGGAAAGUUCCAUCAUACGUUACUUGACUUUGGCUGUUAUCUCCAUGAAGACUCAGGUUUUGAGGGAGUCACAUUUGUUUAAGAUGUAUUUAGAUGUUCCAAAAUCUGUUGUACUACCCUUAGAACUGGCAUUUACUGAUGAAUGAGCAAGCAUUAUGUGUUAAAAUGUUUCAUACUGUUUCAAAAACUGACUGUCUGCUGCAAAAACACGUUCGUUACGGUUUUUGUAAAAUUGAUCUAAAAGGUCUUUACUAUAUUAUGUAAAAACAAAAAGCUGCAGGACCAUGAGAAGAUUGUUGGCCAUUGAAAGUUAAUAUUUAAUGAGCACUUGCUUGUUCCUGUAGUUUUACAAAAUAUUUUUAAAACUGCAGUUAAUAUUUUACAGAUUUUACACGUUUGGCACUGUGGUUUUAAAUAUGUAAAGGCCUAUAACUUUGCUGUGAUGGAAUAAUUGAUUUAUUGUGAUGGUAUAAUUGAGUAUGCAUACUACUUGAUUCUUAAUUUCCCAAGGCAAUAUGGCCAUUUUUUAUUUUUUUUUAUCAAGAUUUAAAUAUUGUGUGUUUUAAAUACACAACUG